RNAcentral lists this unclassified non-coding RNA (329 nucleotides) under soil metagenome. RNAcentral's name for it is "partial contains 5.8S ribosomal RNA, internal transcribed spacer 2, and large subunit ribosomal RNA". The stretch from base 1 to 120 matches the Rfam family "5.8S ribosomal RNA", at positions 35 to 154 of the family's 154-position model. The record is from RNAcentral.
GAUGAAGAACGCAGCGAAAUGCGAUAAGUAAUGUGAAUUGCAGAAUUCAGUGAAUCAUCGAAUCUUUGAACGCACAUUGCGCCCCUUGGUAUUCCGAGGGGCAUGCCUGUUCGAGCGUCAUUAUAACCCCUCAAGCUCAGCUUGGUGUUGGGGCCUGCUGCACUGGCAGCCCUUAAAAUCAGUGGCGGCGCCAUCUGGCUCUAAGCGUAGUAAUUCUUCUCGCUAUGGAGUCCUGGUGGAUGCUUGCCAUCAACCCCCAAUAUUUCUAUGGUUGACCUCGGAUCAGGUAGGGAUACCCGCUGAACUUAAGCAUAUCAAUAAGCGGAGGA